GAAGAUAAGACUGUAAAAGGAAAUGGAUUUCUUCUAUAUAUUUUUGAUAUAGCAUCUCUUCUCUAUAUUGAGUAAUCAUUAUCGAUACUGUUUUACCUUCUUCUCUUUGUAUCGUUGGGCUUUGUGUGAAACAAAAUGUAAGGGCCAACUAUUCUGUUUAACCAUGGCUUAGCGUCAGCUUUUGAGCUUGCUUUUGCUCUCGUUUUUUCCAUCGUGGUGUUCGGGGGCAAAAAGCCAUAUCACAGUGGG
Molecule: long non-coding RNA, 249 nt
Filed under: Elaeis guineensis (African oil palm)
Lineage: Eukaryota; Viridiplantae; Streptophyta; Magnoliopsida; Arecales; Arecaceae
Description: long non-coding RNA (EGUI_LNC071240)
Source: RNAcentral